GCGAGGCUAGCUGUAAAAAUAAUGAUGAUAAAAAGUUUUAAUACCCUUUUCUAUUUUAUUUUUGCGCAAAAAUGGUAUCUAUUUUAAUAAUCAUGUGUCUAAUUGUAUCUAAUCUUUAGUCUCACAAUUUUAAUUCAGCAUGAUCGAACCAAAGAUGCACAACCAAUAGGAGGGUUGAUACAGUGGUAGAGAUUACAUUAUAACUUUUUACGUGAAUUAUGUUAGAAAAAAAAUAAUCUCCUUUCUAAGAUAAUAUGAGGAAGAAAUUCUAAAAAUUAUCAAAUAAUAAUAAUAUUGUUAUUCCUACCUUCUCCACUCACAUUCCUCCAAGAACCUACCUACCCUUCUACCUCCCAUAAUCCUACCAACUUCAGAGCACCAUCCAUAAUCUGUUCAUUCAUUCCCCAACACUUUGAAUAUGCAGAUACAUCUUCGUUGUACAUGUCAGCAACAGGUUCUCAUAUGUCUGUCUUUGUUAUGUGCUUAUAAAAGAUAAAAAAUAAACAAUAAAAGAAGCAAGUGAAAGAUUGUUUUAAUGUUUCAGAAUAUUUAUUAAUUAUUUCUUUUUUUAUUUCUAAUCUUAUGGUUGUGGGGGAAGUUAUUACUAUAGUUAACUCACUAACUUCUUGAUGAUAAGAACCACCAUGAAGUUAUUGUUCACAGACCUUUGCACAGUCUAAGGAAAGAUGUCACAACUAUUGGGGCUGGGGGGGAGAAUUGCUACUUUAUCCAGAGGCACAGACCACAGUUUUACUGUCAGCAAUACAGCACACAAUUAAGAAUGGAUUCAAAUUCAAUAGAGUUGUCUAGAGAAACUACCAUAACAGAGUUGUGAUGGUAAAAUGGCCUUCAAAUGCAAGACAAUGAAAAGUAGUACAUAACAUGAGAAAGAAUUUCUCACCCUUUAAAGACUGCACCAUCCUCAGUUUCUUCACAUCAUAGACAGAAUCAUUUACACAGGCCAUGGUGGUACGGUUGAAGUCUCAGGUUUAUAUAUAACAUUGUUCCUAUGUUUGAGCCUAAAAUCUCAUCUACGAUUUACUAUGGUCAAUGCAUCUUUUCUGCUAGCUUAAUUUCAGUGGGAUCAACCAUUUAGGUCAGCUAGAUCCUGAUAUUGCAUAUAAUAAAUAAACAUUACUGCUGCAUCGACACUUGCCGCAUUAACUUG
Long non-coding RNA from Arachis ipaensis, 1168 nucleotides. RefSeq lists it as uncharacterized. NCBI's taxonomy places the organism in Eukaryota, Viridiplantae, Streptophyta, Magnoliopsida, Fabales, Fabaceae. The record is from RefSeq and is a predicted model, not a curated record.